GUGGGCUUCUUGCUCACAGGGCUCCAAAGGACAUCCAAAUGUUCUUGUGAUUCCUAACCAAGACAUAUUAUGAAUUCAUUGUGCUGGUCAGGCUCUUCUGAACGUGAAAAACUCUGGCCCUCAGUGCAUCCACUUUCAUGAUGUUGCUUUCUCAUCCAUUAAGUUUUGUCUUCCGGUCCAUAAAAACUCAGUCUUUCAGACUACUAUAUCCAGCUGCAGAUGUCCAAUUGGUCCAGCCCUUGUGACUUUGGGACUGGUGGAGCCAAAGUGUCCCUGGCCCUUUGGUUUCAGGACUACAUAGACAUCCAGAGCAUAAGGGCUUUGGAAGGGGUCAGGUUGAUAGCUGCUUGUGUGGAGACUGGGCCAGACAUAUUGGCAGGAAGCUGGCUUCUUUGGUGGUCCUAGGGGAAAUGAAGAUAAACAUCUCCAUUCCACAUGAUUGCAUUCACAUUUGAUGGAAAUAUUGAAUGCCUUUUCGUUCUGGCUGCAGUCAUAUCCUGUCCCUUUGUUUCUGUCUUUCUGACUGCGUCUUCAUUCACUCUUAGGAGACUUGUAGCUGGAAUUUACUAAGAAAGCACUCAGGGACAGGCGUCGGCUUCCCACUCAGUCCCAUACUCACUACCAGCCAUAAGCAUCAGAUAUCGCAAAGGAGAAUAGCCCUCCUAUCCCAGAGUUUGGUGCUUGGCUGUUUGUAGCCAGGGGCAGGGGGGAGGGGAGCCAGCUCACCUCCUUGAUCUGCCUGAUUGAGAUGCCUUCCUUCUGGAAAGCAGACAUUUCACUCAGGAGCAGUAGGCUCCAGAAGCUGGUCAGCACAGAAAAAGCUUUGUUCUGAAGAGGCACCAAUGCCCCUCCCCACACACUGGAGGCAUAGCUCUGGGAACCUCCAAGCUACAACAGUGUCACUGUUCCCUCCAUUCAAUGAUGGGAAAAGCAACAAGAGCAAACCAAGUCCCAGGGUAGUAUAUGUCCUUAAGAAGACAGAAAGCAGUCCUGUUGCUGACAGAGCUCCCAGAAGGAGACUCUAGAGGGCACUUUUGCCUAAGCCCUUUGUUGUCUCUUCUUCUCACAGUCAGCCAGGUUAACAGAAGCUGGUACUGGGCACUCCCUUCUCCAUAGAGUUCCCCUUCCAAGCUCUGAAGAUCUCUGGCCCUCCUUAUCCACCUUGACACAUGUUUGCUGUCUUGUGGAAACAAGGCUCUUCCCAUAAUCCAUUCAGAAUCAGUGUUUCAAGAAUCUAUCCUCUGUUUUCCACGUGGGAGUCUGAUCCAGUCCUUGUGACUGUGGGAGAGAUAUUGCCAUAGGGCUACUUCUUCAUUAAUUCACUGGGUUUCAGAAGCAUGCAGCCAUUCAGAGCUCAUGGAUUUGAAGGGGACCAGUGGAGGAUGUCUGGUGUUUAGGCUAGGCCAGAGAUUUGGGUAGAGACCAGGCCUCCUUCUGGGCAGAAGCAAAGGAAUAAAGCCAUGUUUCCAAGUGGAUCCCCAUUCCCACCAUCAAAGACGAGCUUUGGCCCACCUGGUAUCCAUUUCCUUUCCCUUGUUGUGUGUCUGACAAUGUAUUUUUUUUUUCUCCCUUAGGCGCCAUGGAGCCAUCACUUACUCAGCUGUCACAACUGGGUGGGCUGUAAUGUCCCACAACUGGGUGGGCUGCAAUGUCCCACUCUGCUCUUGUGCUCAAUGAGAGCAUUCAGGCUCUGAUCUACCAAAGGAAAGAAUGCCUUGAGUCCCUGGGGGCUUGGUGCUUGGCCUACUGUGCUAUGGAGGGUGAAGGGGAGCCAGCUUGCCUCACUGACCUGGAUGACUGAGUUGCCUUUAUUCUGAGAAGGACACAGUUCACACAUGGGCACUAUAACGAGGAGGGAGAGCCAUGGAGCCAUCAAUCACUCAGUUUGCACCCCUGGGUACUGCAAACUCUACUCUGCCCCUGUGCUCAGUGAGAGCUAUCAGGCUCUGCUCUACCUAAGGAAAGAAGGCCUUGAGUCCCUAGGUGCUUGGACUGCUGUGCUAUGGAUGGUGAAGGGGAGCCAGCUUGCUUCUCUGACCUGGAUGACUGACGUUCCUCCAUUCUGAGAAGCAGACAGUUUGCACAUGGGCAGUAUGAAGGAGGAGGCGGUGAUCAUUGGAAGAGUCCUUGCCAGGAAUGAGGGAAGCAAGUCCUUGUUGAAGAUUCCUGAGCAAGAGCCCUCAGAACACAAUAGCUACAGCUCAAGCACCGUGGCCUCCCUCAACUGAUGGGAAAAGUGGUGGGGAUAACCAAGCCAGAAAUCCCUGGCUCCUGAAGAAAGAAUGCAAGUACUUGCUGACAGGGCUCCAUGGUGUAGUUUCUCAGAGGGCCCUUUUGGCCUAAGCCCACAGGGCUUCCUUAUUCUGGAUACAACCUGGUUGAUAGGAGACUGCGUUGGGUACUUCAUUCUCACCUUUCUUCAAAUCUCAUGUGUGAUGAAGAACACUGGCAGUGUGUGUCUCCAUUACCAACCCUUAGCCCUUUUGAUAUAAGGCGGUUUGUAUGGAAACUAUUCUGAGAUAGUGUCUCAAAGUCCUCUCAUCUCUCAGCUUGGGUGUUUGGUGGUGUUUUUAUGAUGCUGCUAGAGAUGUUGCAUUGGGCCCUUCCUAAUUUGGUUUCAGAAUCAUGUGGCCCUCCCCAGACCAGGGUUUGUGCAGGUACACAAGGAGAAUGCUUGCAGGUAGGCUAAGCCAGAAGUUGGGGUUUGAUCACACCUCCUGUGUGCGACAUGGGGAGGUAAAGUUGUCGGUCUCCCUCCUCGGUGUCCCCCAUCCAGUCUGAGUACACAACUUUGACUCACCCCAUUGCCAUUCCUCUCCCAUUUCUGCUUUCCCAACUCAAUCUCAGUUCACACACGGAGACCGUGUGUCUGUGUCCUACAACAACCAAGGUCCCUGGUAUGGAGGUGAGUUUCCACGGCUUUCCUGAGCCAAUGCAGUGCUCCCAGAGUCUGAUAUCCCAGAGGACAGCUAGCCCCCUGUCCUUGAGGACUUGGCACUGGGCCGGCUACAGUAGCCACAUGGACUCCCCCACCCUAAUGGAUGCAGCUACUCUCAUUCAUCAAAACAGAUGGUCUUUGCAUGUUCAGCAUGCUCCACGAACUGAUCAGUGCACACAAAGCCUUUCGAAUACACACUGCACCAAGGCCUCUUUCCCACCUCUUAAUCGUCACAUGGAAGCACCUUCUUCAUAACUCUGAAACUCUGUUGCCCCUUGUGACGGAUACAAUGGGCAAAGCACACCAGAAGCCAAAGAUCCCCUCUGUUUCUUAAGGGAGAAGGCGGGCCUUUUGUUCACAGGCCUCCAGUGAGCAUCCUUUGAAGCAGUCCUGUAGCGAAUGCCCACAAAAGGCUCUUGUGAGUCCUGAGCAAGCCAGCUUCUGAAUAAUUGUGCCAGUCAUGUUCUUCCAAACAUGAAGAACUCUGGUUCUCAUUGUUUCCAGUUUCAUGACAUUGCUUUAUCAUCCAUCAGGGUUCGCCUUGGGGUCCAUACAAAUUCAGUCUUUCAGAGUACUAUCUCCAGCUUGCAGAUAUCCCACAGGUACCAGCCCUUAUGACUGUGGGACAGGUGGCACCGAAGGAGCCCAGGCCUUUUGGUUUUAGGACUACAUGGACAUCCAGAGCCCUGGGCAUCAGAAGGGGUCCAGCCAAGGACUGUUUGUGGGGAGGACUGUUUGUGUGGAGGAUGGGUCAGAUGUAUUAGAGGGAGCUGGCCUCCUUGCUGGGCCUAGGGGAAGUGAAGAUAAGCAUGUCCAUUCCACACUGAUCGCUUUCCCAUUGAAUGGAAAUAUCGAAUGCCCUUUGGUCCUGGAUGAA
Long non-coding RNA from Herpailurus yagouaroundi (jaguarundi), 3815 nucleotides. RefSeq lists it as uncharacterized. The record is from RefSeq and is a predicted model, not a curated record. NCBI's taxonomy places the organism in Eukaryota, Metazoa, Chordata, Mammalia, Carnivora, Felidae. The transcript has 2 exons.